This is a long non-coding RNA of Prunus persica (peach), 1136 nucleotides long. RefSeq lists it as uncharacterized. Lineage: Eukaryota; Viridiplantae; Streptophyta; Magnoliopsida; Rosales; Rosaceae. The record is from RefSeq and is a predicted model, not a curated record. The transcript is spliced from 2 exons.
AACAUGUCACCUAAAUCUGGUCACUCUUAUACCCCCAAGGUGCUUUCCUUCAAUUUAUCUUCCGUUUUUGGGUCAAAUUUUUGAUUUUUGAUUUUUGAACCAGGAUUCAAAGAUGGGAUGUCUUGAAUUUGAAUCUGGGAUUUGAAACGUUGAGGCAUUCUUCAGGUAUUUCUGUAUUCUCGAGAGGUUUGAAACUGGGUUUGCAGGCUUGGUGUUCUUGAAAUGUUCUGCCAUUCAGGGUUCUUUAGUGGAAAUAACUAAAUGACACUCCGCGGAUGCUAACUGAUAUUGGUGACGUUCCUGUUCAAAUGGAGUCGAAGAUGACAGACUGAUGAAUGUCAUAAGUGAGUCCGUACGUCAAGCUUGUUAUGGAACAGGUAGGUUAUAAUUUCUACAAGCUUCCAAUUGAAAAAACUACUGCAAGUAUUGAUCUUAGGGAAAAAGAAAACAGCGAUUUUAGAAGAUUUCAUUGGAAAAACUAUUACAAUUCUGCUCUUCUGUUUCCAAAACUCUCCUUGUUCUGUUGGUAGAAUAAGUUGCAUUUAUAGUAAUGCCCAGUUGACUGAAAACUGGAGGAAUUUCUCCUUUUUAAUCACUUAUUUGCUGCAGGCUUAUGAUUAUAUAUCACCAGUUUUGUACUUCUCUGUUUGGUAGAGAUGAAUGUUAUGCUCACCUAGCUUGAUAACUCUGAGACCACCUUUUGCCAUUUGCCUAGGUUAUUUUCUAAAGUUGAAGUUUUAAACCUGAAUUCACCAAAUCUUGAUAGAUCCCUGUUCUUUUUCAUUGUUUCUAAAUUGUUAGUGUAACAUGAUGUGCUUCAAAAGCUUACCCUGGACUGAGUUUGAGCAGCAAUUAGUUCAACUACCAUAUUUUCAUUGCGCAUGACAUGUAGUUAUAUCCCUUUUAUAACCUUGAAAACUUUACCAGUGUGACACAAUUGCUUGCAAUUUUUAAAUACUUUGAAACUCAUUGUUUUUUAGAAGUGUACUUUGAAGCCGAGCUGGUACAAUUCAUAAUGCUUAGAUGUAUAGUACCUUGCCUGCAGUAUGAUGCCAUUUUCAGGCCUCAGAUUUGAACACUUUAGGGAUCCUUUGCCAUAUAUGAGGAUUCCUCAUAGUACCUCUUUUAUCAUCAAA